ACACUUACCUGGCAGGGGAAUUACCAUGGUUAUGAAGAUGAUUUUCCCAGGGUCAGGCUUCUCUAUUGCAUUCAAGAUGUGCUAGCCCCUGUAAUUUCUUCAAAUGUGGGACAUUUGACUGUAUAACCUACAGAAGAGGGGCAUUUUCUCUCCAC
Molecule: small nuclear RNA, 155 nt
Organism: Erinaceus europaeus (western European hedgehog)
Lineage: Eukaryota; Metazoa; Chordata; Mammalia; Eulipotyphla; Erinaceidae
Gene: U1
Rfam family: U1 spliceosomal RNA
About the family: U1 is a small nuclear RNA (snRNA) component of the spliceosome (involved in pre-mRNA splicing).
Source: Ensembl